AGUGAACGUUGGCGGCGUGGAUUAGGCAUGCAAGUCGAGCGAGAACCGUAGCAAUACGGGGACAGCGGCGAAAGGGACAGUAAUGUGUAGGUACCUACCUCCGGGUUCGGGAUAGCUGCGGGAAACUGCAGGUAAUACCGAAUAACGUCUCCGGACCAAAGGUGUGAUUCCACCUGGAGAGGGGCCUGCAUCCUAUUAGCUUGUUGGCGGGGUAACGGCCCACCAAGGCGACGAUGGGUAGCGGGUGUGAGAGCACGACCCGCGUCAUUGGGACUGAGACACUGCCCAGACACCUACGGGUGGCUGCAGUCGUGAAUCUUCGGCAAUGGGCGCAAGCCUGACCGAGCGUCGCCGCGUGCGGGAUGAAGGCCUUCGGGUUGUAAACCGCUGUCGUAGAGGAGGAAAUGCAGGGGGGUUCUCCCCUCUGUUUGACCUAUUCUAGGAGGAAGUACGGGCUAAGCUCGUGCCAGCAGCCGCGGUAA
Molecule: ribosomal RNA, 482 nt
Filed under: uncultured bacterium
Lineage: Bacteria
Description: partial 16S ribosomal RNA
Rfam family: Bacterial small subunit ribosomal RNA
Source: RNAcentral